This 735-nucleotide ribosomal RNA is filed under the name uncultured bacterium. RNAcentral's name for it is "bacterial SSU rRNA". It matches the Rfam family "Bacterial small subunit ribosomal RNA", at positions 8 to 762 of the family's 1533-position model. The record is from RNAcentral.
AGAGUUUGAUCCUGGCUCAGGACGAACGCUGGCGGCGCGCCUAAUGCAUGCAAGUCGAACGAAGACCAGCCUUCGGGUGAAGUCUUAGUGGCAGACGGCUGAGUAACGCGUGAGUGACCUGCCCUGGAGAGGGGGAUAACAUCGGGAAACCGAUGCUAAUACCGCGUACGCUCAUCAGUCCAAAGGCUGAUGAGGAAACGAAUUUCGCUCUAGGAGGGGCUCGCGUCCUAUCAGGUAGUUGGUGGGGUAAUGGCCUACCAAGCCGAAGACGGGUACCUGGUGUGAGAGCACGACCAGGCAGAGGGGGACUGAGACACGGCCCCCACUCCUACGGGAGGCAGCAGCAGGGAAUCUUCCACAAUGGGCGAAAGCCUGAUGGAGCGACGCCGCGUGGGGGAUGAAGGCUUUCGGGUCGUAAACCCCUUUUCUCAGGGAAGAGUAAGGACGGUACCUGAGGAAUAAGCAUCGGCUAACUACGUGCCAGCAGCCGCGGUAAUACGUAGGAUGCAAGCGUUGUCCGGAAUCACUGGGCGUAAAGGGUCCGUAGGCGGUUUGUUAAGUCUCUUGUGAAAGCUCAGGGCUCAACCCUGAGAUGUCGAGGGAUACUGGCAGACUUGAGACUGUCAGAGGCAAGUGGAAUUCCCGGUGUAGUGGUGAAAUGCGUAGAUAUCGGGAGGAACACCAGUGGCGAAAGCGGCUUGCUGGGACAGUUCUGACGCUGAAGGACGAAAGCGU